Molecule: ribosomal RNA, 781 nt
Filed under: uncultured Sebacinales
Lineage: Eukaryota; Fungi; Basidiomycota; Agaricomycetes; Sebacinales
Description: eukaryotic LSU rRNA
Rfam family: Eukaryotic large subunit ribosomal RNA (bases 153-781)
Source: RNAcentral
UGUCAUUACAACUGGUCUGAAAUGUGUGAGUGCACCCUGCUGUUGCAGCGUCCUCAGUGUGAUAAGCAUCUUCACUGAAUCAAGUUCCUUUGGGACACGUGUGUAAUGUGGGCUCUGUGCUGGCAAACUGUCUUUGGACAAUCUUGACAAUUUGACCUCAGAUCGAGUGGGACUACCCGCUGAACUUAAGCAUAUCAAUAAGCGGAGGAAAAGAAACUAACAAGGAUUCCCCUAGUAACGGCGAGUGAAGAGGGAAAAGCUCAAAUUUUGAAUCUGGUGCCUUUGGCAUCCGAGUUGUAAUCUAGAGAAGUGUUUUCUGCCUUGGACCACACAUAAAUUCCCUGGAAUGGGGUGUCAUAGAGGGUGAGAAUCCCGUUUGUGGUGUGGACUACCUUGGCUCUGUGAUACACUCUCAACGAGUCGAGUUGUUUGGGAAUGCAGCUCAAAAUGGGUGGUAAAUUCCAUCUAAAGCUAAAUAUUGGCGAGAGACCGAUAGCGAACAAGUACCGUGAGGGAAAGAUGAAAAGCACUUUGGAAAGAGAGUGAAACAGUACGUGAAAUUGUUGAAAGGGAAGCGUUUGAAGUCAGUCACAUUGGUCAGAAUUCAGCCUGGCUUAUGCCUGGUGUACUUUCUGGCAAAUGGGUCAGCGUCAAUUUUGACCGAGGGAGAAAGACUUGAGGAAGGUGGCUGUCUUUGGGCAGUGUUAUAGCCUCUUGUUGUAAUGCUCGGUUGGGAUUGAGGAUCGCAGCACGCCUUAUGGCCGGGGUUCGCGCCCUCGGU